AAUAAAAUGGCUGAGUUAAAGCGAUAAAUUGUAAAUUUAUUUACGAGAAAAAAAUUCUCUUUUAUUA
Molecule: transfer RNA, 67 nt
Filed under: Theretra oldenlandiae
Lineage: Eukaryota; Metazoa; Arthropoda; Insecta; Lepidoptera; Sphingidae
Description: tRNA-Tyr
Rfam family: tRNA
About the family: Transfer RNA (tRNA) molecules are approximately 80 nucleotides in length. Their secondary structure includes four short double-helical elements and three loops (D, anti-codon, and T loops).
Source: RNAcentral